CACAAGGUCUUGGUCUUAAACCCCCUAUUAUUUACAUCCCUAAUUAUACAUGCAAGACUCACCUCUACAGUGAAACAGCCCACCAAUCAACCAAUCGGAGCAGGUAUCAGGCACCCUAAGCCCACGACACCAAGCACAAUAGCCACACCCCCACGGGCCAGCAGCAGUAGUUAAUAUUAGGCCAUAAGCGCAAGCUUGACCUAGCAAGGGACCACCCAGGGCCGGUUAACCACCGUGCCAGCGACCGCGGUUACACGAUAGGCCCAAAAUAAUAUAAACGGCGUAAAACACGACUAAAUUAUAGUCUAACUAUUAGAGCUAAAACUUAAGCCAGGCUGUAAAAAGCCAUAAGCCACAAUAAAGCUCUAACAACAAACAAAUUCCACUCGUGAAAGCCAGGACACAAACUAAGAUUAGAUACCUUACUAUGCCUAGCCGUAACACAACAAUUAAAUUACCAAUUGUUCGCCAAAUAACUACGAGUAAAGACUUAAAAUUUAAAAGACUUGACGGUACCUCAUAACAACCUAGAGGAGCCUGUCAAAUAACCGAUACUCCACGAUUAACCCAACCUCCCCUAGCCUUAACAGUCUAUAUACCGCCGUCGCCAGCCUACCUUGUGAAAGAAACAAAGUGAGCUAAACAGCCACCACACUAACACGACAGGUCGAGGUGUAACUUAUGGGAAGGAUCAUGAUGGGCUACAUUUUCUAAAACAGAAAACACGAAUAAACUAUGAAAUAAGAAACUGAAGGCGGAUUUAGCAGUAAACUAAGAACAAAAUACCUAGUCGAAAUCAAUGCAAUGAGGUGCGUACACACCGCCCGUCAUCCCUGUCAACCAAACAACAAAAUUCAUAAACAAAAAUAUUACCAAAAACAGGGCAAGUCGUAACACGGUAAGCGUACUGGAAAGUGCGCUUAGAAA
Molecule: non-coding RNA, 927 nt
Filed under: Coluber constrictor (Eastern racer)
Lineage: Eukaryota; Metazoa; Chordata; Lepidosauria; Squamata; Colubridae
Source: RNAcentral